Molecule: ribosomal RNA, 446 nt
Filed under: uncultured bacterium
Lineage: Bacteria
Description: partial 16S ribosomal RNA
Rfam family: Bacterial small subunit ribosomal RNA
Source: RNAcentral
GUGAGGAAUAUUGGUCAAUGGGCGCAAGCCUGAACCAGCCAUCCCGCGUGCAGGAAGACGGCGCUAUGCGUUGUAAACUGCUUUUCCAGGGGGAGAAACUUGCGCACGUGUUGCGCAAUUGACGGUACCCUGGGAAUAAGCAUCGGCUAACUCCGUGCCAGCAGCCGCGGUAAUACGGAGGAUGCGAGCGUUAUCCGGAUUCAUUGGGUUUAAAGGGUGCGUAGGCGGACUAUUAAGUCAGUGGUGAAAUCCUGCAGCUUAACUGCAGAACUGCCAUUGAUACUGAUAGCCUUGAGUUUGGUUAAGGUAGGCGGAAUGUGUAAUGUAGCGGUGAAAUGCUUAGAUAUUACACAGAACACCAAUUGCGUAGGCAGCUUACUGAGCCGACACUGACGCUGAGGCACGAAAGCGUGGGGAUCGAACAGGAUUAGAAACCCGGGUAGUCC